CCUACGGGCGGCAGCAGUGAGGAAUAUUGGUCAAUGGCCGUAAGGCUGAACCAGCCAAGUCGCGUGAAGGAAGAAGGAUCUAUGGUUUGUAAACCUCUUUUAUAGGGGAAUAAAGGUAUCCACGUGUGGAUCUUUGCAUGUACCCUAUGAAUAAGCAUCGGCUAACUCCGUGCCAGCAGCCGCGGUAAUACGGAGGAUGCGAGCGUUAUCCGGAUUUAUUGGGUUUAAAGGGUGCGCAGGCUGUGUUUUAAGUCAGCGGUUAAAGUUUGUGGCUCAACCAUAGAAUUGCCGUUGAAACUGGAAGACUUGAGUGUGUGAGAGGUAGGCGGAAUGCGUGGUGUAGCGGUGAAAUGCAUAGAUAUCACGCAGAACUCCGAUUGCGAAGGCAGCAUACUAGGGCAUAACUGACGCUGAUGCACGAAAGCGUGGGGAUCGAACAGGAUUAGAUACCCGAGUAGUC
This 460-nucleotide ribosomal RNA is filed under the name uncultured bacterium. RNAcentral describes it as "partial 16S ribosomal RNA". It matches the Rfam family "Bacterial small subunit ribosomal RNA", at positions 338 to 795 of the family's 1533-position model. The record is from RNAcentral.